This 253-nucleotide ribosomal RNA is filed under the name uncultured bacterium. RNAcentral's name for it is "partial 16S ribosomal RNA". It matches the Rfam family "Bacterial small subunit ribosomal RNA", at positions 524 to 776 of the family's 1533-position model. The record is from RNAcentral.
UACGUAGGGUGCAAACGUUGUUCGGAAUCACUGGGCAUAAAGGGCGCGUAGGCGGUUUGAUAAGUCCUGUGUGAAAGCCCCCGGCUUAACCGGGGAACUGCACUGGAUACUGUCGAGCUAGAGUGUAGAAGAGGAGAGCGGAAUUCCUGGUGGAGCGGUGAAAUGCGUAGAUAUCAGGAGGAACGCCAGUGGCGAAAGCGGCUCUCUGGUCUACUACUGACGCUGAGGCGCGAAAGCUAGGGGAGCAAACGGG